RNAcentral lists this ribosomal RNA (778 nucleotides) under uncultured Neocallimastigales. RNAcentral describes it as "partial large subunit ribosomal RNA". It matches the Rfam family "Eukaryotic large subunit ribosomal RNA", at positions 23 to 616 of the family's 3401-position model. Lineage: Eukaryota; Fungi; Neocallimastigomycota; Neocallimastigomycetes; Neocallimastigales. The record is from RNAcentral.
ACACGCAUGACACACUGCAUAUCAAUAAGCGGAGGAAAAGAAACUAACUAGGAUUCCCCUAGUAACGGCGAGUGAAGCGGGAAGAGCUCAAAUUUGAAAUCUUAAAGGGUUUCCCUUGACGAAUUGUAGUUUAAAGAAGUGUUUUCUGUUGGAGUUUUCGGUAAAAGUUCUUUGGAAUAGGACAUCAUAGAGGGUGAGAAUCCCGUAUUUGACCAUUUACUUUCCAGCUGUUGUGAUACACUUUCAAAGAGUCGGAUUGUCUGGGAAUGCAGUCCAAAAUGGGUGGUAAAUUUCAUCUAAAGCUAAAUAUUGGCGAGAGACCGAUAGCGAACAAGUACCGUGAGGGAAAGAUGAAAAGAACUUUGAAAAGAGAGUUAAACAGUACGUGAAAUUGUCAAAAGGGAAGCGUUUGACACCAGUGUUGUUUAGUUGAAAAUCAAUUCAAUAAUUUUUGAUUUUGAGUAGUAUUGACUUCAUCAGCUUGCUGCUUUCUUUUCGGAAAUUAUUGAAUGCACUUUUCAGUUAACAAGUCAACAUCAAUUUCUUUUGUUGUAAAAGGGUAAGAGGAAGGUGGCUUACGCUUCGGCGUAAGUGUUUAUAGCCUUUUACCUCUGCAAUCGGAGAGAUUGAGGACAGCAGCGUAGACUCUUCGGGGUUAGAUACACUUGUGCUAAGCUAUAGCCUUGUAUAGACAACUUGUUGACUAUGCUCAGUCAUGUAGCUUACUCGCUUGUGCUAUUUUACCUACGCUUAGGAUGUUGAGCGCAUGUCUCUCUCU